Molecule: long non-coding RNA, 6606 nt
Filed under: Homo sapiens (human)
Lineage: Eukaryota; Metazoa; Chordata; Mammalia; Primates; Hominidae
Description: non-protein coding lnc-TRIM26-2:13
Source: RNAcentral
CGGGGCGGCAAAACGUCCGCCCGGGCCCGAGGCGGGCGGAGGCAGCUGUGGUUACGUGCGGGGGGCCGGUGACGCAGUCGCGGGGCGCUGGGACGCGGCUUGCGGAGCCGGCCGGCGAGCGCAGGCCCCAGGCUCGGGCGCGGCGGCGGGACAGCACCUACCUUCCCGGCUUCGGGUCCGGGAGUGCGGGGCGCGGAGCCGCCGGAGCGCUGCCUCCCUCCUUCCUCCUCCCCUCGCCCCCGCCCCGCGGCGCGACACACAAUACUCGCCGGAAGCGGAAGCCGCGCCGAGGCUCGUGUCAGUGGAAGCUGGGGUGUCGGCGGGCGGCCGCGGCCGGGUCUAGCGGUGCCUGCGGAAGAAGGAGGAGGAGGGCUGGCGAUGAGAAGCAGCAGGGGGAAUCAAGGGCAAGAAGGGACCCAGAGGGGCAGGUGGCUGAGAUGCUGGCGUCCAGGUGACCCGAGGAAUCCUCUGGAGAUACAGGCCCGCGCAUGCGCGUGCUCGAGCGCUGAAGCCCAUUGCCCGCAGGGCGCUGGACUGGCGCCCCGGCCGGCGAGGCUGUCUAGUCCAGGCUCCAGGCCCCGGCUCUGGCCAGGCGCCGCCGCCUCCCGGUGCAGCUGAAAGUCGACGAAGAGGGCGGGGCGGGGGCGGCUUGUGGACUUCCACACUUUUCCUCUCUUCGGGCCAGUCUGGGGAGAGGGUGGCUAGCUGUGGCGGCGGCCAAUUACGUGGCGGACCUGCGGGGCUAAGCUGGCACGUCACUUCCGACUAGUGGAGUUUUUAGCCUUUUAACAUUCAAGGAUUAGAGCUCCCUCUUUGCCCACUAGCAGGGCAUUAGCUGGUGCUGAAGACAGUGGCUGCUUGGCGAGCCUGGAUCUCCAAGUGACCCCCUCAGCAACUCCUGAUGAACAGGACUGAAGCCAAUAUUAAAGCAAGUCAACCAAAGGUUCUCUGGUGUAGACAAGACAGCAAAAGGACAGACUACCUUGUGGAACCUAGCAUUGUUCUCCUUCUGCAGCACUAAGUAACAUUUGUUCUCCGUUAAGAUCUUUGCAAACCACACACAAGAAUUGCUGGUCAUCCUGCCAAUAGAUGCUGCUCACAGAACCAAAUUUCCUGUGCUGAAUUGUCACUCAUGGGCUUGAGAGUAGGAGACUGGAGACCAAGGUGGCUAGAAUCCAGUUGGGCCUGAUGUCUCCCUGUUGAAAGGGCUCCUUGUGGAAUGAAUAGCACAUGGCUCCUGUGGUGGAUCUGAUAGUGGCAUAGCACCAAGUGAUGCAGGCCUGCCAGGGGCCACAGACACAGAAGAUGCUCCCGGGGUCCCCCAUGUACUCCAGACACACUGCAGGCCACCUCUCCCAGCAGGUUGCCAGUCAUGGGCCCCAUCAUCAUGACUUCUGUCCAAGGUACUGUGUGCAGAAAUGUGAUUGAGAUUCAAGUCAGGGCCUCUCUGCCCUUUUCCCUCCAGAAACAAAACCAAGAUAAUUUAUCCUGAACACGGUGAAAAAAGGAAGGGAGGGAGGAGAAAAAGUCCGGGUCUCACCUGGGAUUCUCUGUCUCCUGCAACAUGAAGGAUUUAGCCUGGGAGGAGGUGGUGAGAACUCUGGGAGAGAAAAAAGAAGGAAAGAAUAGUUUUACCCAUGCUGAAGUUAAUUUAAACCUUCACCUAGAGAAGCAAAAAAAAAAAACCCACACUUUCCCAUUUUGUGCCUCCCUUCCUAGAGUUUUAGCCAAAGGUUUAGCUAAGUAAUUGGUUUUACCAGCGCACUCACUCCUCCUAUCCCAAGUCUGUUUGACUCCCUCCCCAUCAUCCUCCUCACCUCUUUUCAGGCAGGGUGGGGAUAGCAGCAGGAGGAGAUUUUGGGAGCCUGGCAACUCCUGCAAGGACCGCAGGACAGCCCCUCUGUGGGGAUGCGUGGUGCCCCAUCUGCCGCCCUUCUGAAGAAUGCACUGCCUUCACUUUUUACUGUGUUAGAGUCCAUCCAGACUGUUCUAUCCAAAAAAGUUUCUUUUUCCCCCACAGGCAAUCAGGAAAUGAUUCCUUUCCCGACUGCUUCUGUCUAGUGCCUGGGAAUCUUGAGUCAAUCCCUCAGUAAGUCAGUGACUAGGGAAAUCCCUCUCUGAGCCUCCCAGUUCAUGUUGCUUAGGGAACCUGAUAUUUUCGUGAAACCUGCCUACACAUGGGCAGCCCAACAGCAGAACAAAUGGUGGUGACCAAAGUGAACAAAGAAGUAUAGUUGUGCCAGCUUCGUAGUUGCCCAUGUGGACAAGUCAGCAGGAUCAGGACACGAGGAAGAGUAAAUGUGAGACAGUCAAUGUGACUUCUGCGAUAAACAGAUUUUUAAACCCCGAAAUUUUGCAAAAUUUUGGUGAAACCUGAACUUUCUUCGUUGCAUAUACUGGCACUAUCUGUACCAUCAUACAACUGUCUCACAUUAAAGCUAUUUUUCUUGGGCACUGAUGAGUAAGGUUGGUAUAAGUUCCUCAGAUCAACAAAAACCCAUUUUCCUGUAAGUCUUACAUUUAGUAUUUAAGGAACUAAAACUUAAAUACAUUUUGUGAAAUGGUUGACACUUCACUGAUAAUGAUUUAUUGCUUGGAUUAAUAAAUUUUCCAAAAGUUGUCUUAUGUAGAAUAUGGUUUGCAACCAGCAGAACCAUUAAUCUAUACUGCAAUGAUAUGCACUAUGUAUAAUUGUUUAAAAGCCUCUACUUAAUGAUGUAAAAUGCUCUAUUUAAUUACACAUUUGGGUAAACUGUAUACUAACAUCUGAUGGCAUUUUUCCACUGUUUGUUGCUUUUUUCAAAUACUUUAUUGUACAAAGCUGUUCUUAAUAUUUUUCAAGUUUUUUUCUUUGAAUUUUGCUAAUGUUUUCCUUGAAUUAUGAGCACUGACAGAAUGUGCUUAGCACUUUUGGCUAUUCACACAGCUUUUGAGCAUGAUUUGCAUCCAAUAUUUACAUUGCUAGCAAUAAUAAGCCAUCUGUGAGUUUUGUCAAAAGUUAUUGGGGAUUUUUUAAAUUUUAGAAAUGCAAAUUAUUGUUUCUUUGAACUAACUCUUAUGCAGUUGCAAAGGCAUUUCCAGUUGUUAUAGUUUGUGUACAAUAUCAGGUGUUCCAGAUUAUGAUUCAUUAUUAAUAUCAUUGCUUCCUUGUUCCCUCUGAGGUCCAGAAGAUUCAUGUUUACAAUAUUUAGAAACAAUGUUAAAAAGGUAUCCAAAGUUUGUCACUUUAUUAUUAGUUUGUUCUUAAUAUUCUGUUUAAGUUUUUGAAUUCAUAGAUAUCAAAACGCUGCACAAUUAUGAUUUCCACAGGAAUAACAACACACUAACAAUAAGAACCAAAAACAGCAAAUAGGCUGCCUACAAGUUUUGACAAUAUUAGGAUAAUGAUAAUGACAGUUUUUCUAAAUCUCACAGUAAAGAAUGCAGCAACCCAGCAACACUGCUACCUGUGGCCUCAGGCUGCAGUGUCAGCUCUUCCCUGGGUCUCCAGCCUGCCAGUCUAACCUGAAAAUUAUGUACUUGCCAGCCCCCACAGUCACGUGAGUGAACUGGCCCAGGCUGGUCACCAGGGUCAGUUUCUCUGUGUGUCAUUAAUUCAUUCAGUCUUCAGCAGUCUCUUUGGAGCUGAGAUGUACCUACCAUCUGCCUUUUGGGUGCUUAGGGUGGAGAACCAGAAAAGUAUAACCUAGUGUGUAUCCUCAAAGAGCUAACAAUAUGGGGUGGUACCUAUAGGUCUGGAAACACUUUACUGACUCUGUGAGGCAUACCAGGAGACGUCAGAGAACAGUCCCUCCUCAAAUGCCAAAUGAGAUGCAGAAGAAAUAGUUUGCUCAAGUUCAUGGGCCAGAUAUCCCAGUGGUCAGGGAGUUUCAUGAAUGAGAUGGAACUUUGCAUGGAACCCGAGGGAUGUGUAUGAUUUGAGUAGAUGAAGAAAAUGAGACUUUCCAAGCAGCUAGAAGUUAGGGAGCAGCAAGAUGUGUGGUGGGAUUGAGCACAGUUGGUUCAGAGGAUAGACUGCAGUUUUAAUAAUUUGUAGUAAAUAUCUCCCAACUGUUUGGCACUAUUGGAGCAAGUUCUUGAAUGCCAAAUGAAGGCAUAAAUCAGUAAGAGGCAUAAUAAAAGGCUGAGCAGUGCUUGGCUUUUUACGAACUGAUCCUGAUAGGAGCAGCUGUUCAACAAAGUUGCCAGGUCACCGUUACAUAGUCCCUGCCUUCUAGGGGCUCACUGCCUACUGGGAGAGACAGUCUGAAAGUUGGUGGAGCAUGUAACUGUUGGAUGAGGAGUUUGAGCCUGUGGACUGUGGGACCCCCGAGGAGGGUGUGGCUACUCUAGGCAGAACAAUCCCACAGUUUAUUUAUAUUUAACCUUGAAAUUCAUUAGAGGAUUUUUCAGCAGAGGUUUGGUACUUGUUAAUGUUAAGGUUUGCAUUCUCUAGAACCUCAAGGAAAGCUGUACCGUGCAUAAUGUACCCUCUUAUGUUAAUGUUGUGUACUGUGAUCCUGUUUCAGGGACUUGCACUUAGGAAUCUGUUACAGUGAGCACAGAAGCAGACCUGUGGGCUCAUAGUCUUCACCCCCCACCCAUAUAUACAAGAUGAACAGAGUGGAGGUUAAACAACUUGACUAAACAACACAGUUCAUGGUAAAGCCCAAGACUGUACCUGCCCAUCCACUGCCUUUUCCAUGUAUCCUGGAACUGAGCAUAGACCUCUUCCCAGGCAGAGCUGACAGCAAGUAAAGGAGAUCAUAAUCAGGGGACCAAACAACUUUGUCUAAAGUGUGAAUGUCACCUAAGGAGAAGCUGUGAGAUCAGAAGGGUGGGGCAGAGGAGCAGACACCAUGAGGGAGAGUCCUUGGGGGUACAUCUGCCAGACUGACACUGUCUGGCCUGGGCAGUGGAGGGGCUAGCAGGAACCACAGGUACUGGUGGUGUGGCUACUACCGUUACAACUGCCUGUGCUUGGACAUGGACCCUCUGCAAUAUGCGGCAGUUUCAUUCAUUGCCCCCUACAUUCUACACCAAGUAGAAAUGGAAGGCAAUUGGAUACUUCACAGACAAGAUCUAAGUGGAGAAGGAAUGCGUCCUGUGGCUGCAGAGAUCCUUGGAGCUUGGAGGGGAGAGCUUGAGCCCCACUGAUGAUGACCUCCCACAGCUCGCCAACUCAGCCCUCCCUAAGUCCCCAUCGGGGGCCAAUUCUCACUCUGGGGUUGGGGGGACUCCACCAUAGCUCAUCCAUCAUAGGGAUGUUGGUAUCUACUGUGGGUUGGGUAGGGCCGAUGUGCUGAGGAUGGCUCCCCCACAAGCAAGAGAUGUGGAUUUGGGGAGCUUCCCAUCUUGUGUUGAAGGAACAUAACUCAGAAUAAUAAGAGCCAACUAUAACAAACCCACAGCCAACAUCAUACUGAAUGGGCAAAAGCUGCAGGCAUUCCCCUUGAAAAGUGGCACAGGAUAAGGAAGCCCUUUCUCACCACUCCUAUUCAAUAUAGUGUUGAAAGUCCUGAUCACAGCAGUCAGGCAACAGAAAUAAUAAAGGGCAUCCAAAUAGGAAGAGAGGAAGUCAAACUAUCCUUGUUUGCAGACAGUAUGAUUCUAUAUCUAGAAAACCCCAUAGCCUCAGCCCAAAAGGUCCUUCAUCUGAUAAUUUCAGCAAAGUUUCAGGAGACAAAAUCAGUGUACAAAAAUCACUAACAUUCCUAUACACAGUCGCCAAGCCAAGAGCCAAAUCAGGAGCACAAUCCCAUUCAUAAUUGCCACAAAAAAGAAUAAAAUACCCAGGAAUGCAGCUAACCAAGGAAGUAAAGGAUCUCUACAAUGAGAAUCACAAACGCUGCUCAAAGAAAUCAGAGAUGACACAAACAAAUGGAAAAACUUUCCAUGCUCAUGGCUAGGAAGAAUCAAUAUCAUUAAAGUGGCCAUACUACCCAAAGCAAUUUAUAGAUUCAAUGCUAUUCCUAUCAAACUAUCAAUUACAUUUUUCACAGAACUAGAAAAAACUUAAAAUUCAUAUGGAACCAAAAAGCCUGAGUAGUCAAGGCAAUCCUAAACAAAAAGAACAAAGGUGGAGGCAUCACAUUACCUAACUUCAAACUACAGGGCUACCAUGACCAAAACAGCAUGGUACUGGUACAAAAGCAGACACACAGACCAGUGGGACAGAAUAGAGAGCCCAAAAAUAAGGCCACAAACCUACAGCCAUCUGAUCUUCAACAAAGUUGACAAAAACAAGCAAUGGGGAAAGGUCUCCCUAUUCAAUAAAUGGUGCUGGGAUAACUGGCUGGCCAUAUGCAGAAGAUCGUAACUGGACCCCUUUUACUAUGUACAAAAAUUAAGAUGGUUUAAAGAGUUAAAACCCAAAAUUAUAAAAAUCCUGAAGAUAACUUAGGCAAUACCAUUCUGGACAUAGGAACUGGCAAAUAUUUCAUGAUGAAGACACCAAAAGCAAUUGUAACAAAAGCAAAAAUGGACAAAUUGGAUUUAAGAGCUUUUUCAUAGCAAAAUAAACAACAGGGCAGACAAUCUACCAAAUGACAGAAAAUUUUUGCAAACUAUGCAUCUGACAAGGGGCUAAUAUCUAGCAUCUAUAAGGAAUUUAAACACAGUUACAGG